This 143-nucleotide unclassified non-coding RNA is filed under the name soil metagenome. RNAcentral's name for it is "partial internal transcribed spacer 1". The record is from RNAcentral.
UAAUAAGUGUUUUAUGGCACUUUUUAAAUCCAUAUCCACCUUGUGUGCAAUGUCAGUCGAUCUUCUUCAUGGAGAUCGACCAAACAUCAACCUUUAUCUUUUAACUCUUUGUCUGAAAAUAUUAUGAAUAAACAAUUCAAAUA